This 336-nucleotide unclassified non-coding RNA is filed under the name soil metagenome. RNAcentral describes it as "partial contains 5.8S ribosomal RNA, internal transcribed spacer 2, and large subunit ribosomal RNA". The stretch from base 1 to 120 matches the Rfam family "5.8S ribosomal RNA", at positions 35 to 154 of the family's 154-position model. The record is from RNAcentral.
GAUGAAGAACGUAGCGAAAUGCGAUAAGUAAUGUGAAUUGCAGAAUUCAGUGAAUCAUCGAAUCUUUGAACGCACAUUGCGCCCGCCAGUAUUCUGGCGGGCAUGCCUGUUCGAGCGUCAUUUUAACCAUCAAGCCCCAGGCUUGUGUUGGGGACCUGCGGCUGCCGCAGGCCCUGAAAACCAGUGGCGGGCUCGCUGUCACACCGGGCGUAGUAGAUUUUAUCUCGCUCAGGGCGUGCUGCGGGUUCCGGCCGUUAAAAAGCCUUUUUUACCCAAGGUUGACCUCGGAUCAGGUAGGAAGACCCGCUGAACUUAAGCAUAUCAAUAAGCGGAGGA